RNAcentral lists this unclassified non-coding RNA (309 nucleotides) under Hevea brasiliensis (rubber tree). The record is from RNAcentral. Lineage: Eukaryota; Viridiplantae; Streptophyta; Magnoliopsida; Malpighiales; Euphorbiaceae.
CUUUGCCUUUUGAAUCUAAGGAAUUUGUUGUCAAGCUGGUUGAGAGGAAUGAUGGUGCAGGGUCUUCUGGUUCAACCACGAGGGAGCGCCAAUUUAAGGUGGCAAUCAAAUUUGCAGCUAAGGCGGACCUUCAUCAUCUGCAACAAUUUUUAUAUGGUAGACAAAUGGAUGCUCCGCAAGAAACCAUACAAGUUCUUGAUAUUGUUCUCAGGGCAUCUCCGUCGGAAAAGUAUAUAACUGUUGGGNNNNNUUUCUCAUCUGAUUUGGGGCCAAGGGGUGAGCUUGGUGAUGGUAUAGAAUAUUGGAGAG